RNAcentral lists this ribosomal RNA (2450 nucleotides) under human gut metagenome. RNAcentral's name for it is "bacterial LSU rRNA". It matches the Rfam family "Bacterial large subunit ribosomal RNA", at positions 14 to 2485 of the family's 2925-position model. The record is from RNAcentral.
AGGGCGCAUGGCGGAUGCCUUGGCUCUCGGAGGCGAUGAAGGACGUGAUAAGCUGCGAUAAGCUUUGGGGAGGUGCAAAUGACCUUUGAUCCAGAGAUUUCCGAAUGGGACAACCCAAUAUCUUGAAGAGGUAUUAUCCAACGUUGUUGGAGGCUAACGCAGGGAACUGAAACAUCUUAGUACCUGCAGGAAAAGAAAAUAAACAAUGAUUCCCCCAGUAGUGGCGAGCGAACGGGGAACAGCCCAAACCAUCCAUGUUACGGCAUGGGUGGGGUUGUAGGACUACGCCGUUGCAUGAAGACAUCAGAGAAGAACUUUCUGGAAAGAAAGACCAUAGAGCAUGACAGUUGCGUAUUCGAAUGUUGUCGAAGCAUAGUAGUAUCCUGAGUAGCGCGGAGCACGAGGAAUUCUGCGUGAAUCUGCCGGGACCAUCCGGUAAGGCUAAAUACUCCCGAGAGACCGAUAGCGAACCAGUACCGUGAGGGAAAGGUGAAAAGCACUUCGAACAGAAGAGUGAAAUAGUUCCUGAAACCGUGCGCCUACAAGCGGUCGGAGCUCGUUAAUGAGUGACGGCGUGCCUUUUGCAUAAUGAACCUACGAGUUGCCUUUGCCGGCAAGGUUAAGUGUGACGACACACGUAUCCGAAGCGAAAGCGAGUCUGAACAGGGCGUAUAGUCGGCAGUGGCAGACGCGAAACCAAGUGAUCUACCCUUGGCCAGGUUGAAGGCUGGGUAACACCAGCUGGAGGACCGCACCAAUAAGCGUUGAAAAGCUUCUGGAUGAGCUGAGGGUAGGGGUGAAAGGCUAAUCAAACUUGGAGAUAGCUCGUACUCCCCGAAAUGCAUUUAGGUGCAGCCUUGCGGGUUACUGAUGUGAGGUAGAGCGACUGAUAAGAUGCGAGGGCUUCACCGCCUAUCAAGUCUUGACAAACUCCGAAUGCGCAUCAGUUCUACCGCAGGAGUGAGGGCAUGGGUGCUAAGGUCCGUGCCCGAGAGGAGAAGAAUCCGGACCACCUGCUAAGGUCCCGAAAUGACAGCUAAGUUAAACUAACGAAGUCUGACUGCUAAGACAGCUAGGAUGUUGGCUUGGAAGCAGCCAUUCAUUUAAAGAGUGCGUAACAGCUCACUAGUCGAGGAGUCGGGCGUGGAUAAUAAUCGGGUAUUAAGUUGUCUACCGAAGCAGUGGGAUCAUUGAUAUGAUCGGUAGGGGAGCAUUCCAGUCAGCGUCGAAGGCGUACCGUGAGGUAUUCUGGAGCGUCUGGAAAAGCAAAUGUAGGUAUAAGUAACGAUAAAGGGGGCGGGAAACCCCCUCGCCGAAAGACUAAGGUUUCCUGAUCAACGCUAAUCGGAUCAGGGUCAGUCGGGUCCUAAGGCUCAGCCGAACGGCGAUGCCGAUGGCAGAAACGGUUAAUAUUCCGUUACUACCUUCAGGAGUGACGUGGAGACGCAGUAGUGACAGUGCCGCCAUCUGACGGAAUAGAUGGUUGAAGGGUGUAGGAGUCGAUCAUGGCAGGCAAAUCCACCAUGAGAUCCGAACCUGACAGUAUGCCGCGUCCUUCGGGACAAGGCAAUAGUGCGCGUAAGCAUGCUGCCGAGAAAAUCCGCUAAACUUAAUCCUGCAGGUACCCGUACCGCAAACGGACACACGUAGUCGGGAUGAAUAUUCUAAGGCGCUUGAGUGAUUCACGGUUAAGGAACUAGGCAAACUGACCCUGUAACUUCGGGAUAAAGGGUCCUCUUUUAUGGGAGGGCGCAGAGAAUCGGUCCAGGCAACUGUUUAACAAAAACACAGGGCUGUGCCAAAUCGAAAGAUCCAGUAUACAGCCUGACACCUGCCCGGUGCUGGAAGGUUAAGAGGAGAUGUCAUCGAUAAGAGAAGCGUUGAAUUGAAGCCCCAGUAAACGGCGGCCGUAACUAUAACGGUCCUAAGGUAGCGAAAUUCCUUGUCGGGUAAGUUCCGACCUGCACGAAUGGUGUAAUGAUCUGGACGCUGUCUCAACCGUGAGCUCAGUGAAAUUGUAGUAUCGGUGAAGAUGCCGAUUACCCGCGAUGGGACGAAAAGACCCCGUGAACCUUUACUAUAGCUUAUCAUUGAAUCUGGGCACGUGAUGUGUAGGAUAGGUCGGAGGCUUUGAAGCAGGUACGCCAGUAUUUGUGGAGCCGCUGUUGAAAUACGACCCUUUAUUUGUUUGGAUUCUAACCCGUGGAACGGGGACAUUGAUUGGUGGGUAGUUUGACUGGGGUGGUCGCCUCCAAAAGCGUAACGGAGGCUUCUAAAGGUGCCCUCCGGCCGAUUGGUAACCGGCCUUAAAGAGUGUAAUGGCAUAAGGGCGCUUGACUGGGAGACUGACAAGUCGAUCAGGUAGGAAACUAGAGCAUAGUGAUCCGGUGUUUCCGUAUGGAAGGGACAUCGCUCAAAGGAUAAAAGGUACUCCGGGGAUAACAGGCUGA